UAGGGAAUAUUGGCCAAUGGGGGCAACCCUGAUCCAGCCAUGCCGCGUGAGGGAAGAAGGUCCUCUGGAUUGUAAACCUCUUUUGGCGGGGAAUAAACCUGCGCUAUACGCGCAGCUGAAGGUACCCGCAGAAUAAGCACCGGCUAACUCCGUGC
This 155-nucleotide ribosomal RNA is filed under the name uncultured bacterium. RNAcentral's name for it is "partial 16S ribosomal RNA". It matches the Rfam family "Bacterial small subunit ribosomal RNA", at positions 355 to 508 of the family's 1533-position model. The record is from RNAcentral.